UGUCGAACGUGAUCCAUUAGCAAUAGUGGUGAAAGUGGCGAACGGGUGAGUAACACGUAAGUAACCUGCCCUGAAGUGGGGGAUAACGACUGGAAACGGUCGCUAAUACCGCAUAAGUCCAUCGAAGCGGGAGUGAGAUGGAGAAAACUGAGGUGCUUCAGGAGGGGUCUGCGUCCGAUUAGCUAGUUGGUGGGGUAAAGGCUCACCAAGGCGACGAUCGGUAGCUGGUCUGAGAGGACGAUCAGCCACACAGGAACUGAGACACGGUCCCGACUCCUACGGGGGGCAGCAGUGAGGAAUAUUGGGCAAUGGGCGGAAGCCUGACCCAGCAACGCCACGUGAAGGAUGAAGGCCUUCGGGUUGUAAACUUCUUUUAUGGGGGAAGAGAGAGGACGGUACCCCAGGAAUAAGUCACGGCUAACUACGUGCCAGCAGCCGCGGUAAUACGUAGGUGACAAGCGUUAUCCGGAAUUACUGGGCGUAAAGCGCACGCAGGCGGCUGCUUAAGUCUGACGUGAAAUCUCCUGGCUUAACUGGGAGGGGUCGUUGGAAACUGAGUAGCUUGAGGCAGUGAGAGGGGUGUAGAAUUCCCGGUGUAGUGGUGGAAUGCGUAGAUAUCGGGAGGAAUACCAGAGGCGAGGGCGACACCCUGGCACUGACCUGACGCUCAUGUGCGAAAGCGUGGGGGAGCGAACGGGAUUAGAUACCCCGGUAGUCCACGCUGUAAACGAUGAGUACUAGGUGUAGGUGGAGUGAAAUCCGUCUGUGCCGAAGCAAACGCGCUAAGUACUCCGCCUGGGGAGUACGGCCGCAGGGCUAAAACUCAAAGGAAUUGACGGGGGCCUGCACAAGCAGCGGAGCGUGUGGUUUUAAUUCGAUGCAACACGAAGAACCUUUACCUGGGGUUUGGACAUUGU
RNAcentral lists this ribosomal RNA (917 nucleotides) under uncultured Chloroflexota bacterium. RNAcentral's name for it is "bacterial SSU rRNA". It matches the Rfam family "Bacterial small subunit ribosomal RNA", at positions 60 to 992 of the family's 1533-position model. Lineage: Bacteria; Bacillati; Chloroflexota. The record is from RNAcentral.